Petromyzon marinus (sea lamprey) is the source of this 867-nucleotide non-coding RNA. NCBI's taxonomy places the organism in Eukaryota, Metazoa, Chordata, Hyperoartia, Petromyzontiformes, Petromyzontidae. The record is from RefSeq and is a predicted model, not a curated record.
CGUACAAAAUCAGCAGAGGAUCAAAUACUUUUUUUCCCCUCACUGUACAUACAUACUAACGUACAAAUAAGCACCUUGCUAACGAUAGCUAUGGCCGACAUUAAGGGCAGGUCACCGGCCUCUUAGCAGAGUGCGGAAACCUCUGCGCCAUCAUUCCCUUAUCAAAUAUCAAUACAUACGUGUACAUACUCAAGACUAAAGCGCGCAUUUAAAUGGGGAAUAUUGAAACAUCGGUUUCACAUCCCGAGCAGUCUUCCUGAUACAUGUCCGAAUAUUUCAAUUAGAUUUCCUUGGUAAAGAUUCUAAAUACAAUUGAAUCCACACACGCACGCACGAACACCCACAGCUCAAUAAACACGUUACGCUUUUACACUGAACGAAUGGCAGGUUGGAUGUGGCACUUUGAUUUUCACAUAUUUUUCUACAACAUUUCAGUGUAAGUUUUCUCGGUUGUGCUCUACAGCGCCCCAGUGUCUUAUUGGCUGUCGUUCGGCAUGAUGUCUGAAGCUUCGCUCCACUUGCUUGGGAGCUUCUUCGGGAAAUGAAGAGUGUUCAGCAACUGAGCACAAAGUCCCCGAGCACGUGGAAGCGAAGAAACGUCAGACAUCGUGCCAAACGACGCGCCCGGAAACCCUCACACAGAACCCACCGCCUCCCACAGUUCGCAUCUUCCCCUGCUGGCGUCGAGACAAUGAAGCCGCACACCCGACUCGCGCCGCUCACGAAUUGCUAAACUUGCUGUGCCCAAGGAUAUAUUCGCGUAGACAGUGGUUCGAUCUCCCAGCGUGGCAGCCGAAACAAUGAACACGUUUAUUAAACCUCCCUGCCUCUAUCCACCCAGCAGUAUCAUAAUAUUUAAUUAUACGG